AUUGAACGCUGGCGGCAGGCCUAACACAUGCAAGUCGAGCGGAUGAAGGGAGCUUGCUCCUGGAUUCAGCGGCGCACGGGUGAGUAAUGCCUAGGAAUCUGCCUGGCAGUGGGGGGUAACGUCUGGAAACGGGCGCUAAUACCGCAUACGACCUGAGGGAGCUAGUGGGUGAUCUUCGGACCUCACGCUAUCAGAUGAGCCUAGGUCGGAUUAGCUAGUUGGUGGGGUAAAGGCCUACUAAGGCGACGAUCCGUAACUGGUCUGAGAGGAUGAUCAGUCACACUGGAACUGAGACACGGUCCAGACUCCUACGGGAGGCAGCAGUGUGGAAUAGUGGACAAUGGGCGAAAGCCUGAUCCAGCCAGGCCGCGUGUGUUAAGAAGGUCUUCGGAUUGUAAAGCACUCUAUGUGGGGAGGAAGGGCAGUAAGUUAAUACCUUGCUGUUUUGACGUUACCAACAGAAUAAGCACCGGCUAACUUCGUG
RNAcentral lists this ribosomal RNA (484 nucleotides) under uncultured bacterium. RNAcentral's name for it is "partial 16S ribosomal RNA". It matches the Rfam family "Bacterial small subunit ribosomal RNA", at positions 30 to 507 of the family's 1533-position model. The record is from RNAcentral.